Molecule: ribosomal RNA, 427 nt
Filed under: uncultured bacterium
Lineage: Bacteria
Description: partial 16S ribosomal RNA
Rfam family: Bacterial small subunit ribosomal RNA
Source: RNAcentral
GUGGGGAAUUUUGGACAAUGGGGGAAACCCUGACCCAGCGACGCCGCGUGAGGGAAGACGGCCUUCGGGUUGUAAACCUCUUUUGUACGGGAAGAAGGAAGUGACGGUACUGUACGAAUAAGUCCCGGCUAACUACGUGCCAGCAGCCGCGGUAAUACGUAGGGGACGAGCGUUGUCCGGAAUUACUGGGCGUAAAGGGCGCGCAGGCUGUGCUGCAAGUCAGCUGUGAAAUGUCUGGGCUUAACCCGGGCAUGCGGUUGAGACUGCAGUGCUGGAGUGCUGUAGAGGCAAGUGGAAUUCCCAGUGUAGCGGUGAAAUGCGUAGAUAUUGGGAAGAACACCGGUGGCGAAGGCGACUUGCUGGGCAGCAACUGACGCUGAGGCGCGAAAGCCAGGGGAGCAAACGGGAUUAGAAACCCGUGUAGUCC